CAGGCUCGGGGGCUUGAAACAACAGAAAUCUAUUUUCUCACAGUUCUGGAGGCUGCAAGUCUCAGGUCAAGGUUCCCGCUGGUUCCGUUUCUGGGGAGGCUCCUUCCUGGCUCGCAGAGGCUGGUGUGUGGCCUGUCCCGGGAGAGUGCCCCUGCAGGCUAUUUUCCACACCAGUAAGUACAGGCAGCAAGACAGCCACUGGCUCAAGUUCUCCCAAGGACUAAAGUCACAUGGCUCAGUCUUCCGAUUGUUUAGCUCCUUCUCUGGCUAAUCUGUCAGCUUCUUCAUUGCCUAUAAAUCCCGAAUGACCAGGAACAUGCAUCUG
RNAcentral lists this long non-coding RNA (325 nucleotides) under Pan troglodytes (chimpanzee). RNAcentral describes it as "long non-coding RNA NONPTRT009921". The record is from RNAcentral. Lineage: Eukaryota; Metazoa; Chordata; Mammalia; Primates; Hominidae.